AUCUCUUUGCCUAUUGGCUUAGAUCAAGUGUAGUAUCUGUUCUUUUCAGUGUAACAACUGAAAUGUCCUCAUAGAGGAUAUUACUGUUACAGACUCAGUUUUUGGCCAACAUUA
Small nuclear RNA from Kluyveromyces lactis, 114 nucleotides. It matches the Rfam family "U2 spliceosomal RNA". From Rfam's summary of the family: U2 is a small nuclear RNA (snRNA) component of the spliceosome (involved in pre-mRNA splicing). Complementary binding between U2 snRNA (in an area lying towards the 5' end but 3' to hairpin I) and the branchpoint sequence (BPS) of the intron results the bulging out of an unpaired adenosine, on the BPS, which initiates a nucleophilic attack at the intronic 5' splice site, thus starting the first of two transesterification reactions that mediate splicing. Lineage: Eukaryota; Fungi; Ascomycota; Saccharomycetes; Saccharomycetales; Saccharomycetaceae. The record is from Rfam.